RNAcentral lists this ribosomal RNA (305 nucleotides) under uncultured bacterium. RNAcentral describes it as "bacterial SSU rRNA". It matches the Rfam family "Bacterial small subunit ribosomal RNA", at positions 333 to 635 of the family's 1533-position model. The record is from RNAcentral.
GGAGUCCUACGGGGCGCAGCAGUGAGGAAUAUUGGUCAAUGGUCGGGAGACUGAACCAGCCAAGCCGCGUGAGGGAUGAAGGUACAGAGUAUCGUAAACCUCUUUUGUCAGGGAACAAAGGCGGGGACGCGUCCCCGGAUGAGUGUACCUGACCAAGAAGCCCCGGCUAACUACGUGCCAGCAGCCGCGGUAAUACGUAGGGGGCAAGCGUUAUCCGGAAUUACUGGGUGUAAAGGGAGCGUAGACGGUUAAGUAAGUCUGGAGUGAAAGGCCGGGGCCCAACCCCGGGACUGCUCUGGAAACUA